Molecule: long non-coding RNA, 1096 nt
Organism: Aegilops tauschii subsp. strangulata
Lineage: Eukaryota; Viridiplantae; Streptophyta; Magnoliopsida; Poales; Poaceae
Source: RefSeq, a predicted model, not a curated record
AAAAAACAAUCGGCAUGGAGCUCAGCCCCGCAACGUCCGCGCGUAAUCCUCACCUAAUUCCGCAGAUUCCAAGCGGCCGCAUCGUCUGGAACUCCUCCACCUCGAGCGCUCCACAACUCGCUCGCCUCGCCAAAUCCCCUUUCCCCCUGCUCCUCCUUCCCCGGCUUCGUCCAGCAGCACAGCAAGCUCACCGGCCAGGUCCGACCACCCGCUCUUCCUUCUCUCCUCGUCGUCGAGCCACCCGGCCGCCCCUUCGUCCACUCCACGGAUUCGUCCCCUGGGCGAGAUGGGACGUGCACCGUCCUGGCAUUAGGGGGUCGAGCCCCCAAUCCUCAACUGCGAUUCGUGGGUCGGCAGGUUACAAAUCGGCUGGAUCGGUUGCCGGAGUAUAGCACCGGCUGGCCGGAGAAAGAGCAGUGGAUUGAAACGCCCCCACCAUCCCCACCCAGUUCGAAGCUCGCAUCUCGAAAUCGAAGGGUUAACAAGAGCGGAAAAUCAUUCUUUGCUGAUGGUGAGCAUGUCAAGCUUAUCGUUGGUGGCUAUGGCGUGCAAAGUGAGAUCGAUGAUCUCGGUUGCCCAAUGUUUUGUCAUCGUUUUGGAAGCAAGCUAGCAAGACACACACUCGGUUGUCAAAGGUCAAGAGUGUUAUUCCGUCGAUGAUGCCAUCCUCACUGCUCCUCACCGGACUCUUGUGGCUCGUGAUGUCGACACCGGCAGAUUUGUCAGACAAAAUGAAGUCAUAGGGCUAGGUUGGACAGGAUGAAUGGAGCAGAGCAGAGGGACCAUAGCGGCGGUGCGACAUAGUAGUCAUGAAGUGUAUAUACUAUGUACAAAGCAAUUAAAUUGCUAGUAAACCCAAAACCUGCAACCAUAUACAUGGAAUCAUAUAUGAUAAAUAAAGAAAGCACACUACAUAACACUUCAUGGAGAGAAAAUUGAUUGUGGAUUAUGAAGCAUUGUUUUGCUGUGUUGGAAGCAUGAUUUUUAUAUGUUCAAAGCAAAUUGAGCACAUUUGUAUUUCUUGGAAUCCCGUCCUAAUAUGUGUAAAGCAUGUGUUACCUGUACUCAUGAUAAUGGUCAUUUUGUAUGAAAGGUC